UUCUAAGCUGGGACAAAAAUUUGAUUAUCACUCCCCAAAGUUGCUGAAAGAAUGCACUUUAAACUAUGUGGUAUCUAUAACCUAUAUAACAGGUGAGAUUUGAAUAGGGGCUACAGGAUAACUGCUGGAGCAGAACAGUAAUGCAACCGGAGAGAAAAUGUCCAAGGACAGAGUCUAUUCCUUGGUUCUGUUUCUCAUUGCUUUUCGCUUAUUUACAUCAAGGUACCUUUUCCUUAACCUGAUUGCUUUUGGAGUAACCUGCAUGAUCCAAAGAGUUGCAGGUUCAAUAGAAGGCUAGGCUGCAGUACAAAACUGAUAGAUAAGUGCUGAAGAAGUGUGACAAACAGCAUUCUCAAUACAGAGAAAAGGGACCCUGACAAAAUCUUUGAAAGCAACUUCAAUUACCUACUCACCAAUUCAACCCUCUGUUUCCUGUCUCAUUUUUUCAUGCAUUCUCAAUUUACGGGAAGUACAUUGACAUACC
RNAcentral lists this long non-coding RNA (484 nucleotides) under Coffea arabica (coffee). Its description in RNAcentral is "long non-coding RNA (CARA_LNC003852)". The record is from RNAcentral. Lineage: Eukaryota; Viridiplantae; Streptophyta; Magnoliopsida; Gentianales; Rubiaceae.